AACGAACGCUGGCGGCAUGCCUAACACAUGCAAGUCGAACGAAGGCUUCGGCCUUAGUGGCGCACGGGUGCGUAACGCGUGGGAACCUGCCCCUCGGUUCGGAAUAACAGUUAGAAAUGACUGCUAAUACCGGAUGAUGACUUCGGUCCAAAGAUUUAUCGCCGAGGGAUGGGCCCGCGUAGGAUUAGCUAGUUGGUGGGGUAAAGGCCUACCAAGGCGACGAUCCUUAGCUGGUCUGAGAGGAUGAUCAGCCACACUGGGACUGAGACACGGCCCAGACUCCUACGGGAGGCAGCAGUGGGGAAUAUUGGACAAUGGGCGAAAGCCUGAUCCAGCAAUGCCGCGUGAGUGAUGAAGGCCUUAGGGUUGUAAAACUCUUUCGUGGGGGACGAUAAUGACGGUACCCCAAGAAGAAGCUCCGGCUAACUUCGUG
Molecule: ribosomal RNA, 433 nt
Filed under: uncultured bacterium
Lineage: Bacteria
Description: bacterial SSU rRNA
Rfam family: Bacterial small subunit ribosomal RNA
Source: RNAcentral